This 470-nucleotide ribosomal RNA is filed under the name Acinetobacter baumannii. Its description in RNAcentral is "partial 23S ribosomal RNA". It matches the Rfam family "Bacterial large subunit ribosomal RNA", at positions 808 to 1281 of the family's 2925-position model. Lineage: Bacteria; Pseudomonadati; Pseudomonadota; Gammaproteobacteria; Moraxellales; Moraxellaceae. The record is from RNAcentral.
GCUGUGGAUAGCGGAUAAAGUCCAAUCGAAAUCGGAGAUAGCUGUUUCUCCUCGAAAUAGCGUUAGGGAUAGCGUCGGAUAUGAGGAAUUGAGGUAGGGCACUGAAUGGGCUAGGGGGCGUAUCGCUUACCGAACCUUAUCAAACUCCGAAUGCCAUAUACUAUUAGUCCGGCAGUCAGACUACGAAUGAUAAGAUCCGUGGUCAAAAGGGAAAAAGCCCAGAUCGUCAGCUAAGGUCCCAAAGUGUAAGUUAAGUGGAAAAGGAUGUGGGAUUUCUAAGACAACUAGGAUGUUGGCUUAGAAGCAGCCACUCAUUGAAAGAGUGCGUAAUAGCUCACUAGUCGAGAGAUCCUGCGCCGAAAAUGUCCGGGGCUCAAACUUACCACCGAAGCUACGGGCUCAUCGUAAGAUGAGCGGUAGAGGAGCGUCGUAAUCGGGCUGAAGUCGUACCGUAAGGAGCGGUGGACUGA